Molecule: ribosomal RNA, 431 nt
Filed under: uncultured bacterium
Lineage: Bacteria
Description: bacterial SSU rRNA
Rfam family: Bacterial small subunit ribosomal RNA
Source: RNAcentral
ACGAACGCUGGCGGCAUGCCUAACACAUGCAAGUCGAACGAAGCCUUCGGGCUUAGUGGCGCACGGGUGCGUAACGCGUGGGAAUCUGCCCUUCGGUUGGGAAUAACACAGAGAAAUUUGUGCUAAUACCUUAUAAUGUCUACGGACCAAAGAUUUAUCGCCGAGGGAUGAGCCCGCGUAGGAUUAGCUAGUUGGUGGGGUAAUGGCCUACCAAGGCGACGAUCCUUAGCUGGUCUGAGAGGAUGAUCAGCCACACUGGGACUGAGACACGGCCCAGACUCCUACGGGGGGCAGCAGUGGGGAAUAUUGGACAAUGGGGGCAACCCUGAUCCAGCAAUGCCGCGUGAGUGAAGAAGGCCUUAGGGUUGUAAAGCUCUUUCGGCGGGGACGAUGAUGACGGUACCCGCAGAAGAAGCCCCGGCUAACUCCGU